ACUUUAUCCCUUGUCUUCGGGUCUGACAAGGUUGGCAAUUCCUCUGCCACCCUUUUGUAUGGUGCUGUUCUCAUUUGCAAGCUUCUAACUUGUUCCUAUGUUCACACCUUGGGAAAAAUGCCCACGCCGACGAUUGGGGCCCGAGAGGAGUCUGGAACUCCUCAAAGGUCAAAAUGGACUCCGUUCUUUUGCACGGAUCUACAAUAAUUCACUGCACCUUUUGGUCAAUAUGUGUUGAUGGCAACAGUCCUUCAGACACAGGGACUUGCUAACCUCUGUAUCUUAUCUCUCCGGAUCCGGAUUUCCAUGAUGGGUCCAUGAGGGGUGGUCGACACCAAAAUGGUAUCCGUGCUCUUUGGACCUGACAAAAUUAUCCCGUUAUUUGAAGCGUAUGGUCAAUUCUGGCU
Molecule: long non-coding RNA, 407 nt
Filed under: Elaeis guineensis (African oil palm)
Lineage: Eukaryota; Viridiplantae; Streptophyta; Magnoliopsida; Arecales; Arecaceae
Description: long non-coding RNA (EGUI_LNC010906)
Source: RNAcentral